GCAUGGACAAAUUCUGUGUUAGUCAGUAGUAGAUGCAUUCAGACAACAUGCAAAAGCAUCCUUUCACUUCUUUACUAAGGUGAGUGCUGUCUUGUGCCUCACCUACUGCAUGGAGAAGUUAAUACAAGU
Small nucleolar RNA from Salvelinus sp. IW2-2015, 129 nucleotides. RefSeq annotates it as small nucleolar RNA SNORA15. Lineage: Eukaryota; Metazoa; Chordata; Actinopteri; Salmoniformes; Salmonidae. The record is from RefSeq and is a predicted model, not a curated record. The transcript has a single exon.